CUUCCUGGUUGACGGGUCAGCAUCAGUUUCGACCACUGGAAAAAGGCUUGGGGAAUGUGGCACCUCCGGGUGUGUUAUACCCCCUUGUUGUAUACAGUGGUUGGGACUGAGGAACUCAGCACGCCGCAAGGCCGGGAUUCGUCCACGUUCGUGCUUAGGAUGCUGGCAUAAUGGCUUUAAGCGACCCGUCUUGAAACACGGC
This 202-nucleotide ribosomal RNA is filed under the name uncultured fungus. Its description in RNAcentral is "partial 28S ribosomal RNA". The record is from RNAcentral. Lineage: Eukaryota; Fungi.